AGGGGUGAAAGGCCAAUCAAACUGGGAAAUAGCUCGUACUCUCCGAAAUGCAUUUCGGUGCAGCCUGUGAUGUUCUGUUCCAGAGGUAGAGCUACUGGUUGGACGCGAGGGCUUCACCGCCUAUCAAAUCCGGAUAAACUCCGAAUGCUGGAACACGAAAUCAUGGAGUGAGCCCGCGGGUGCUAAGGUCCGCGGACGAGAGGGAAAGAACCCGGACCACCGGCUAAGGUCCCGGAUGGACAGUUAAGUUGAUCAAACGAGGUGGGAUCGCUGAGACAGCUAGGAUGUUGGCUUGGAAGCAGCCAUUCAUUUAAAGAGUGCGUAACAGCUCACUAGUCGAGCGAUCCCGCGUGGAUAAUACACGGGCAUCAAACUGUCAACCGAAGCCGUGGGGUUAGUGAUGAGCUAACCGGUAGGAGAGCAUUCCUGCCAGCUUAGAAGGUCACCCGCGAGAGUGACUGGAGCGGCAUGAAAAGCAAAUGUAGGCAUAAGUAACGAUAAUGGGGGCGAGAACCCCCCACGCCGCAAGACCAAGGAUUCCCCGGCAAUGUCAAUCAGCCGGGGGUCAGCCGGCCUCUAAGGCUCACCCGAAAGGGGAUGCCGACGAGAAACGGGUUAACAUUCCCGUGCUUCUCGUCACCGUGACGCGGUGACGGGGUGAUGAAUGGACCGCGCGCUGACGGAAUAGCGCGUUGAAGGCCGUACCCUUUGACGGUGGUAGUCAAGCACGCCACCGGAGGCGAGAGCCGAUAGUACCACGAGACCCCGGUCGAGUGGAUAGCGUCCAGGCAAUUUACCCCCUAGAAAACCCGCUAAACUUCAAGUGACGAGGAACCGUACUGUAAACGGACACACGUGGUCGGGUAGAACAUACCAAGGCGCUCGAGUGAUUCAUGGUCAAGGAACUAGGCAAAAUAGUCCUGUAACUUAGGGAUAAAGGACGCUCUAGUGAUAGAGCCGCAGAGUAAUGGCCCAGGCGACUGUUUACCAAAAACACAUGGCUAUGCCAAAUCGAAAGAUGACGUAUAUGGCCUGACACCUGCCCGGUGCCGGAAGGUUAAGAGGAGAGCUCAUCGGAAACGAGAAGGUUUGAAUUGAAGCCCCGGUAAACGGCGGCCGUAACUAUAACGGUCCUAAGGUAGCGAAAUUCCUUGUCGGGUAAGUUCCGACCUGCACGAAUGGUGUAACGAUCUGGGCACUGUCUCGACCAUGAGCUCGGUGAAAUUGUAGUUCCGGUGAAGAUGCCGGGUACCCGCGACGGGACGGAAAGACCCCGUGAACCUUUACUGCAGCUUCGCGUUGUUCCCGGGCACGGGACGUGUAGGAUAGGUCGGAGGCUACGAGUCGGUUUCGCCAGGAAUCGAGGAGCCAUCGUUGAAAUACGACCCUUCUCUUGUCUGGGAUCUAACCCAUGGUAAUGGGGACACCGCGUGGUGGGUAGUUUGACUGGGGUGGUCGCCUCCAAAAGCGUAACGGAGGCUUCCAAAGGUACCCUCGGGUUGGUUGGUAAUCAACCUUAGAGUGCAAUGGCACAAGGGUGCUUGACCGGGAGACCAACGAGUCGAUCGGGUGCGAAAGCAGGGCAUAGUGAUCCGGUGAUCCCGCGUGGAAGGGUCAUCGCUCAAAGGAUAAAAGGUACUCCGGGGAUAACAGGCUGAUCGCCGCCAAG
This 1669-nucleotide ribosomal RNA is filed under the name human metagenome. RNAcentral's name for it is "bacterial LSU rRNA". It matches the Rfam family "Bacterial large subunit ribosomal RNA", at positions 817 to 2496 of the family's 2925-position model. The record is from RNAcentral.